RNAcentral lists this unclassified non-coding RNA (1588 nucleotides) under Pomacea canaliculata. Its description in RNAcentral is "ubiquitin carboxyl-terminal hydrolase 3-like, transcript variant X2". The record is from RNAcentral. Lineage: Eukaryota; Metazoa; Mollusca; Gastropoda; Architaenioglossa; Ampullariidae.
CUCCUCGCUAGGAGUAUUAGUCGUGGUGACUCCAUGCUCGUGAUAAUAGGAGGCAGAUAUUGAGAGCCAUUACAUAUGAUACAGUCUCCUGGAAUUUAUUAUUAGGUUUCCUCAAAUUAAAAAGUCAUUAUUCUGGUGUCUGACUGCUCAGCCUGCAGUGUCUUGACAUUAUUUUUGACUUUUAAAUGGAGUGUCCUCAUUUAGAAGAAAGCGCAAGAAUACUGGAACCAAACUUCAAAACAGAAAAUAAUCCACCAGAAUUCGUCUGCUCUGUUUGCAACACAGACAGGAGCCCAUGGAUCUGUUUGGCAUGUGGCAUUGUGAACUGUGGGAGGUAUGUUAAUGCUCAUGCAAAAGCACACUUUGAGGAAACAGAAAAGCAUCAUGUUUGCAUGGACUGUCACAAUUAUAUGGCCUUCUGCUACACAUGUGAUGAAUUUGUUAUCAAUGAUACCUCUUCUGGGCAUUUGGAGAAACUACGCAAAUCACUUGAAUCCAUUCCCAAGCUUACACAGCAAUCUCAAAAUGUCCAGAAACAUAGAAAGGGGAGAAGAUGCAGAGGUUCUACAGAUUCACUUGAAAAUGACAGGAAAAGAAGAAAAAAGGACGACAAAAAGCUUCAAAGGCCUCCACGAACAUCAGGAUUGCGUAAUCUUGGAAACACCUGUUUUAUGAAUGCUGUGCUUCAGUCUUUAAGCAAUAUACAACACUUCUGUGGCUACAUCAAACAGCUACCUUCUUUAGAAGACAAAGCAGUGAAGAUCAAAAAGUAUAACCAUGCCAAGAAGUCACGUGACCUGGGAGGAGAAGACUUACUGGUAGUUGAAGAAUUGCGAAAGAUCCUUGUAGCAUUAUGGCAAGGCAACAAGACCGCUAUUUCACCGGAGUCGCUCUUUACUGUUAUCUGGAAAGUGGUACCACGUUUCAGAGGUUACCAGCAGCAAGAUGCCCAUGAGUUCAUGAGAUAUUUGUUGGACCGGCUUCACUCGGAGUUGUUGCAGUUGCUGCCAUACCCCACUUCCAAUUCGCCCUUUAUUACGCCAAAAGGCACUUCCACAAUAGUUACAGCCAUUUUUGGUGGCCUCUUGCAGAAUGAGGUGCACUGUCUCAUCUGCGGCAUGGAAUCCAAGAAACAUGAUCCUUUUCUUGAUCUCUCAUUAGAUAUACCAAAUCAGUUUGCCAUGCGUAGUGGCAAACCAAAAGAAGGCGAGCCUGUUUGUAGGCUGUCAGAUUGUUUGCACAGCUUUACGGACGUGGAGGAGUUGGAGGAAUCAGAGCUUUAUUACUGUGGCAGCUGCAAACGGCGGCAGAAGUCCACCAAAAAAUUUUGGAUUAGACGACUACCAAAUGUCCUCUGUCUGCACUUGAAGCGUUUUCGAUGGAGCACCUAUUGUCGUGUCAAAGUAGAGACCUUUGUGGAGUUUCCACUGACAAGUCUUGACAUGAACUGCUAUGUCCUCAACAACUUGGUCAGUGGACAGUGACAGACCUUGGGUCAAAACUUAGUGGUGACAGACCUUGGGUCAGCACUCAUAAUGCAUGAGACAAGGGGUAGUUCAGCAGGCAGCAAUCUCUAUGACCUUGCAGC